CCAAGGAGUCUAACAUGUGCGCGAGUCGUUGGGUCGUCUUCCCCAGGACGAAACCCGUUCGGCGCAAUGAAAGUGAAGGUCGGUGCCACCCACGGGUGGCCCGGCGAAGCGGGAUCCGCACAAAAAUUUUGUAAAAAGGGCUGCGGACUAAAAUGAAAAGCCCUGCGGCGCACCGCUGGCCCGUCUCUUCCGCAACGUCGGUGAGGCGGAGCUUGAGCGUACACGUUGGGACCCGAAAGAUGGUGAACUAUGCUUGGGCAGGACGAAGCCAGAGGAAACUCUGGUGGAGGUCCGUAGCGAUUCUGACGUGCAAAUCGAUCGUCAGACCUGAGUAUAGGGGCGAAAGACUAAUCGAACCAUCUA
RNAcentral lists this ribosomal RNA (363 nucleotides) under Cryptops indicus. RNAcentral's name for it is "eukaryotic LSU rRNA". It matches the Rfam family "Eukaryotic large subunit ribosomal RNA", at positions 666 to 946 of the family's 3401-position model. Lineage: Eukaryota; Metazoa; Arthropoda; Chilopoda; Scolopendromorpha; Cryptopidae. The record is from RNAcentral.